CAGAGGAGAUGCUUAAUCCCUGUGGGCUCACCAGGGAGUAUGUCUCCCAGGGAUCAGAUCUGUGCCCAGGGGAAGUGAGUGGACAGACAGCUUCAGGUGAGGUCAAGUAACAGCCAAGAACUUACAGAAGCAAGAAAUAAAUCAACAUACUUCCAACCCCGUGAGGUGACACAGGAGAGUGAAAUGGAUCAGUUCUCAGAGCACUUAAACUUUGGUUCCAGCAGUGUCAUCUUGGACCAUCUCUCAUGACUACCCAAGCCUGCAGGAUUCCUGGAAGAUCAUUAAGAAUUUCCUCACGAUGCUGGAUAGCCUUCAGUGCAGUGGAGAACAGCAGGUCUGACCCAAACAUUGUGUUCUUGUUUGGUAUUCUCAGCAGGGAAGAAGAAAGUGGUGAAAAGAGAUGUCCUUGGACCAAGCUUAGAGAGCUCCUCCUGCUAAACACAACUGAGAGAAAAACUGCUGGAGAAGCACGAGGAAACCAAAACUGA
RNAcentral lists this long non-coding RNA (488 nucleotides) under Fukomys damarensis (Damara mole-rat). Its description in RNAcentral is "lncRNA (ENSFDAG00000027031.1)". The record is from RNAcentral. Lineage: Eukaryota; Metazoa; Chordata; Mammalia; Rodentia; Bathyergidae.